GGUGCUGUGGCUCAGUAGUAGAGAGUCAGUCCUGCAUGCAAAAGGUCCCAGGUUCAAUCCCCAGCAUCUCCA
Molecule: transfer RNA, 72 nt
Filed under: Sphaerodactylus townsendi
Lineage: Eukaryota; Metazoa; Chordata; Lepidosauria; Squamata; Sphaerodactylidae
Description: tRNA-Ala
Source: RNAcentral